AACGAACGCUGGCGGCAUGCCUAACACAUGCAAGUCGAACGAGACCUUCGGGUCUAGUGGCGCACGGGUGCGUAACGCGUGGGAACCUGCCCUUAGGUUCGGAAUAACUCCCCGAAAGGGGUGCUAAUACCGGAUAAUUUCUUCGGACCAAAGAUUUAUCGCCUUUGGAUGGGCCCGCGUUGGAUUAGCUAGUUGGUAGGGUAAAAGCCUACCAAGGCGACGAUCCAUAGCUGGUCUGAGAGGAUGAUCAGCCACACUGGGACUGAGACACGGCCCAGACUCCUACGGGAAGCAGCAGUGGGGAAUAUUGGACAAUGGGCGAAAGCCUGAGCCAGCAAUGCCGCGUGAGUGAUGAAGGCCUUAGGGUUGUAAAGCUCUUUUACCCGGGAUGAUAAUGACAGUACCGGGAGAAUAAGCGCCGGCUAACUCCGUG
This 433-nucleotide ribosomal RNA is filed under the name uncultured bacterium. RNAcentral describes it as "partial 16S ribosomal RNA". It matches the Rfam family "Bacterial small subunit ribosomal RNA", at positions 29 to 507 of the family's 1533-position model. The record is from RNAcentral.